CACGGAUGUGCAAAAACGUUCCCUCGGAAUUUGUUCGAUGCUGAUUGGCUUUAUGGCACAAUGUGACGUUAGCUCGCGCCUUGUAGACAACGUAGUUGGGGUUUUUUUUUUUAUUUAAAAAAGUGUAUAUAAAAUGCUGAAAGGAUACCAGGACGGGAACAUCCGAAAUUACGACCGCAGGCCAUGGCUGCCCAAACCUAUUCCUGGAUUGCUACUGUCCUGUCUGUUGUGGUAUAUGUCCCUCCUGGUCCUCUGAUCCAUGUUGAAGGCUAACGUGUGGCAGUGCCCUGUGAAGUCAAAGAUGACAUGAAUCCCAGAGAGCAGGGUCAACGUAGUAAGGC
Molecule: long non-coding RNA, 341 nt
Organism: Esox lucius (northern pike)
Lineage: Eukaryota; Metazoa; Chordata; Actinopteri; Esociformes; Esocidae
Source: Ensembl